UGGGGAAUUUUGGACAAUGGGGGAAACCCUGAUCCAGCCAUCCCGCGUGUGCGAUGAAGGCCUUCGGGUUGUAAAGCACUUUUGGCAGGAAAGAAACGUCGCGGGUUAAUACCCCGCGAAACUGACGGUACCUGCAGAAUAAGCACCGGCUAACUACGUGCCAGCAGCCGCGGUAAUACGUAGGGUGCAAGCGUUAAUCGGAAUUACUGGGCGUAAAGCGUGCGCAGGCGGUUCGGAAAGAAAGAUGUGAAAUCCCAGAGCUUAACUUUGGAACUGCAUUUUUAACUACCGGGCUAGAGUGUGUCAGAGGGAGGUGGAAUUCCGCGUGUAGCAGUGAAAUGCGUAGAUAUGCGGAGGAACACCGAUGGCGAAGGCAGCCUCCUGGGAUAACACUGACGCUCAUGCACGAAAGCGUGGGGAGCAAACAGGAUUAGAUACCCUGGUAGUCCACGCCCUAAACGAUGUCAACUAGCUGUUGGGGCCUUCGGGCCUUGGUAGCGCAGCUAACGCGUGAAGUUGACCGCCUGGGGAGUNCGUCGCAAGAUUAAAACUCAAAUGAA
This 560-nucleotide ribosomal RNA is filed under the name uncultured bacterium. RNAcentral's name for it is "partial 16S ribosomal RNA". It matches the Rfam family "Bacterial small subunit ribosomal RNA", at positions 355 to 909 of the family's 1533-position model. The record is from RNAcentral.